UACAGAGGGUGCGAGCGUUAAUCGGAUUUACUGGGCGUAAAGGGCGCGUAGGUGGUUGUGUGAGUGUGAUGUGAAAGCCCCGGGCUUAACCUGGGAAGCGCAUCGCAAACGACAUAACUGGAGUAGAUGAGAGGGUGGUGGAAUUUCCGGUGUAGCGGUGAAAUGCGUAGAUAUCGGAAGGAACGUCAAUGGCGAAGGCAGCCACCUGGCAUCAUACUGACACUGAGGCGCGAAAGCGUGGGUAGCGAACAGG
This 253-nucleotide ribosomal RNA is filed under the name uncultured bacterium. RNAcentral describes it as "partial 16S ribosomal RNA". It matches the Rfam family "Bacterial small subunit ribosomal RNA", at positions 524 to 776 of the family's 1533-position model. The record is from RNAcentral.